UGACAAACACCAUAACCGUGAGCAUCUGUCCGGGGCUCCGGUGACUCGCUGGCUGGCUAACAAACGGCUUCACCAGCCCCGCAGCAUCACCGCCGUGAGCGCGAGCCCGACCCCCUGCCGCUCCGACUCAUGGGUAUCCUGGUAACCCACCGACCUGCUGAUGUCACUGCUCUCCAUAAUGAAGUGUGUGAGCGAGUGAGUGAGUGCGUCUGCCUUUGUCAAUAACCAGGCAGGGAAAUUCACAGGCGAUAAGAGCGACAAUGAAGGACACGUCUACCAUGAUGUGAUUUAAGGUACAAAGGAUCAUAUUUCAGCAUCAGGUGCACCUGAGAGGCGUGUCGGAGUGUUUUAAUGAUGAUGAGUCUGAUCUCUGGAGGCCUGAACCAGCACGACGACGCUCCUGCUGAGCUCAGCUUGAUUGAUCUCAACCUCCAUCUGACACAGAGAUCCAAACUCACAACCUCCAGCAGCCCAACGUGACGACGAGUCAGUCUCACAUUUACAGUUUUAAAUACUUUUACUGGAACUUCACCCGAGUGUCUUUCAUUUACUACUGAUUUAUACUCGACCAUAAUUCAGGGGUGAAUGUUGUUCUGUUUAACACUACUGCAUUUAUGUGACAACUGAAGUUACUUUUAGGUUUAAAAAAAUAUACAUGUAUAAUGUGACAACAAUAAUAACACUACUAACAACGUUUUGAAAGGAAAAAUAAAAUAUUAGAAACAAUUUCUUAUUCAUGACUGAUCAGAAUAUCACCUCACUGACCUCCUCAUGCAAAACUCUAUAUAUUUGGGCGUCUCAUAAGCUCCUGGUCACUAUUACAGAAGCUACGGUAUUGUUUUUGAGUUUUGAAUCUAAUAAUAAGGAAUUGAUAUGAUAAAACUGCUGUUUCUGUUGGGUGAAUUUCAUAUUCAUGAAGUCAGAUUUCUUCAUAUUAUUCCAAAUGAAUCUUUGUUUUCUGUUGAACUCAAGAUUUUUUAUGAUUCCAUCUGUAAAGUAUCUAAAAACCAAAAAGACAUCCAGCCUGUUGAAAAAUAUUGUGAACACUACUGUACUGCCAGG
Molecule: long non-coding RNA, 1062 nt
Organism: Acanthopagrus latus (yellowfin seabream)
Lineage: Eukaryota; Metazoa; Chordata; Actinopteri; Spariformes; Sparidae
Exons: 3
Source: RefSeq, a predicted model, not a curated record